GUGAGGGAUCUUCGGCAAUGGGGGCAACCCUGACCGAGCAACGCCGCGUGUGGGACGACGGCCUUCGGGUUGUAAACCACUUUUCUUGGGGACGAGACAGGACGGUACCUGAGGAAGAAGUCUCGGCUAACUACGUGCCAGCAGCCGCGGUAAUACGUAGGAGACGAGCGUUGUCCGGAGUUACUGGGCGUAAAGGGUGCGCAGGCGGCCCUGCGCGUCGCGAGUGAAAUCUCCCGGCUCAACUGGGAGGGUGGUCGCGAGACGGCAGGGCUUGAGGCUCGGUGAGGGGCGUGGAAUUCCGGGUGGAGCGGUGAAAUGCGUAGAGAUCCGGAGGAACACCAACGGCGAAGGCAGCGCCCUGGACGAGACCUGACGCUCAGGCACGAAAGCUCGGGGAGCGAACAGG
This 406-nucleotide ribosomal RNA is filed under the name uncultured bacterium. RNAcentral's name for it is "bacterial SSU rRNA". It matches the Rfam family "Bacterial small subunit ribosomal RNA", at positions 354 to 776 of the family's 1533-position model. The record is from RNAcentral.